UCCUCCCUCAAACCUCGUGUUUGGUGUUGGACCGCGUUGGCCGAGCGACCAACUGGUCUCAAAGACAAUGACGGCGUCCGUGGGACCCUCGGUGCAACGAGCUUCUAAGGAGCACGCGUCGAGUUUCAAGGACCCUCCGGGCCGGUCUUAACCUCUAUCUUCUCA
RNAcentral lists this unclassified non-coding RNA (165 nucleotides) under uncultured Herpotrichiellaceae. RNAcentral describes it as "sequence contains ITS2". RNAcentral also lists the same sequence under 1 other name. The record is from RNAcentral. Lineage: Eukaryota; Fungi; Ascomycota; Eurotiomycetes; Chaetothyriales; Herpotrichiellaceae.